UCUGGCGGCUUUAGCGCGGUGGUCCCACCUGACCCCAUGCCGAACUCAGAAGUGAAACGCCGUAGCGCCGAUGGUAGUGUGGGGUCUCCCCAUGUGAGAGUGCCAGACAUCAAAC
This 115-nucleotide ribosomal RNA is filed under the name Enterobacter hormaechei. The record is from RNAcentral. Lineage: Bacteria; Pseudomonadati; Pseudomonadota; Gammaproteobacteria; Enterobacterales; Enterobacteriaceae.